UAGGGAAUCUUCGGCAAUGGACGAAAGUCUGACCGAGCAACGCCGCGUGAGUGAAGAAGGUUUUCGGAUCGUAAAACUCUGUUGUUAGAGAAGAACAAGGACGUUAGUAACUGAACGUCCCCUGACGGUAUCUAACCAGAAAGCCACGGCUAACUACGUGCCAGCAGCCGCGGUAAUACGUAGGUGGCAAGCGUUGUCCGGAUUUAUUGGGCGUAAAGCGAGCGCAGGCGGAUUCUUAAGUCUGAUGUGAAAGCCCCCGGCUCAACCGGGGAGGGUUAUUUGAAACUGUGAGACUUGAGUGCAGAAGAGGAGAGUGGAAUUCCAUGUGUAGCGGUGAAAUGAGUAAAUAUAUGGAGAAACACCAGUGGCGAAGACGGCUCUCUGGUCUGUAACUGACACUGAGGCUCGAAGGCGUGGGGAGCAAACAGG
RNAcentral lists this ribosomal RNA (429 nucleotides) under Gemmatimonadota bacterium. Its description in RNAcentral is "Gemmatimonadetes bacterium partial 16S ribosomal RNA". It matches the Rfam family "Bacterial small subunit ribosomal RNA", at positions 355 to 776 of the family's 1533-position model. Lineage: Bacteria; Pseudomonadati; Gemmatimonadota. The record is from RNAcentral.